This 646-nucleotide long non-coding RNA is filed under the name Malus domestica (apple). RNAcentral's name for it is "long non-coding RNA (MDOM_LNC018774)". The record is from RNAcentral. Lineage: Eukaryota; Viridiplantae; Streptophyta; Magnoliopsida; Rosales; Rosaceae.
AAAUUCAUUUUACAAUCUGUUUUGAUUCACAUAAAUUUGUCUAAGAAUUUGUUUACUUUGUUCUUGUCUUAAUUUAAUUAUUUUCGUCCAAAAUCAACCCCAUCUUAUUUCUUUGAGUCAUAUUAAUUAGAACUUGUCUUAGAUUUUUAAGUGUUUUAGUUCAUUAGAAAACCAAAAUUCGUCCAAGUUUGUGUUAGAGUCCCAAAACUGCCCAGAUUGUGUGUUUAAGGUAGUUUUGAGUGUUUAGGGGUUGUUUUUGAGUCUUUUGGUUUGUUUUAGUGUUUUAAAGUAUAGUUUUGCAUUCUUUGAGUCUAGUUAGUGUUUUAAACUUUGUUUUUACGUUUUCAAGUCAGUUUCCAAGUGAUUUAGCAAUCCCUCCUAAUCCCCGGCCUAGAACGAUCCCUACUUACAUACUUUACUACAAUUGAUAAAAAGAGGGUUUAAUUUGUGUGCUUAUAUAUUUCGCAUCACUCAUUAAGGGAAUGAGUUCACUGAACACAAUCGAACGAGAGUACUUGCAUGGAGGUCUAGUCACAUGUCAAGCAAGUAACUCUAAUGGUUGGAAUAAUGUAAGUAGUCCUUUGACUUGAGGCAUCGUCGUUGUCUUGUGGCUAAGUACUUAAUCUUUGAUUAUGUCAAAGUCACC